RNAcentral lists this long non-coding RNA (2010 nucleotides) under Marmota monax (woodchuck). The record is from RNAcentral. Lineage: Eukaryota; Metazoa; Chordata; Mammalia; Rodentia; Sciuridae.
AUAUUUGAAAAAUAUGUUUGGCACCUUGUUACGUUAGGUAAUUACAAAUAUUUGACACUACUAAGUUAAUUUCCCCUGCAUUUAUAAAAUAGAUAAUAAAAUUGAUUGAAUGCAUUUUUUAGUUUUAUCUCACAUACAGACUUUGUAUAUAGAAGUGUAAGGGAUUUCAGGGGUUGAGAGAAUUAAUUUUUUUUCUUUCAAUGGUUAGAAAGAAAAAAGAGUUGUCAGAGAUACUAUAAACUCUUAUGCUGAAGGAAGACUACACUAGUUCAAGGUUGGAGACUAUUAAGGAAAAACCCAUUCUGAUGGUGAUUCAUACUUUUCCAUGUGCUAUUCAGUUCUUGAACCUCUUCUAUUUCCAUCCCAAUUCUACCCAUAUCCCAAGGACAUAUUCAGUAAGAACCUACUCUACACAUUGUAUUAUUUCUAAUGUUAUAAUACCUUCAAUUUAAAUUACUUUUCUUGUUCCUAAACUAUCCUUUCAAUGUAACACAUCACACAUUGUCAUUAAAGAAUGUCAGAGAAUACAUUAUUUUUAUAACUAAACUACAAACUAUUAAGGACAUGCCGACAAUGACCUUGUAGUAUAUUAAGCUUUCAGCUUAUAAACAAUAAUUAUAGUAAAUUUAGAAAGUGCUAUUGUAGUUAGUGCAUUGUAUCUUUUUAAUGUAAAUAAUUUCAAAAUGUAAUGAAAACAACAGCAAACAGAUAACAAUCAGAAGAAAAUAUUAAUUAGUAUUAAAUUUUAGGAAUCCAUAUAUCUAGAGAGAAUGACACAAUCUAAAAUAAAGUCCUGGCCCUAUCUGCUUUAUAUAAUAGCGUUUCAAAAUUAAGAACAUAAACUAAACAUUUUAUAUGAAAUUAUAGUAGCCAAAGGAUUUAAGCUCCCGGGUAUCCUGACCUUUUGAUUAAAUCACAGGUCUCUAUUCAUUAAGUAGUUAUUUUAACUAAAAAUAAUCUCAUUUAACAUUAAGGCAUAAUUUGUUUUUGGAAAAAAAUAGUAAAUAUUGAAUUUUGAUAUCAUGUAUUCUCUACAAAUUUGUGUUUACAUUUUUUUUUUUUUGCUAAACAAAGGAAAGUUUACAAAAUACUAAUUGAAAGAUUCAGAAGGGAUAUCAAUUCUGCCUUCCUGUUUAAUAGAUGCCAUUAUCAAGCAGUGUGAGUUUUAUUUAUUUCAUAGUUUAGUGGAAUUCAAUAUUACCUUGAUAUUAAUCAUAAUGGUUCAACUUUUCUCAAUUUUAAUGGCUGGAUAAAUUUAUUACUGAAAAAUGAUAUAAGCAGAUUUGUCAGGAACGUAUGUACAACACUUCUACAAUUAUUUGUAUAAUGCAUAUUUAGUGAAUACUUUUUACAUAGGAGACACCAUACUAUGUGUGUAAUCAGGGAAAAGCAAACCCAAGGAAAUCUCAACAAUAGUGGAAUCUUGUUCCUUACCACUUAAGUGCAUUUUGCAGCAAUUCUACCCUGUUCAUUGUUACCUAUAUGAAGACAUUGCUUGUACAAAUUGGAAGAGAAAAUGUAAUUUGACAAUUAGUUUUGAACCAAUUAUGUAUCUUUAAGAAAAUUAAGAAAACAAGUAGUUUCUUCAUUGUAGCAAAAGUAUCAUCAUUAUUAUUUGGUAGGUACUUCAAGGUACAUCUCUUGAAGUAGCUAUCUCUUGAAUGAACUAUUAUUUCUAUAGUGUUCAUGUGUUAUUGCAUGUAUUUCAUUUCAUCUAUUCAACUUUAAUGUAAUGCUGCUCAAUAAGUGGCUACACAUACAUACAUUAGCAUACAUGUAUACAUAGAUGAAUAGAUAGUAAGUUAUUUCUUGUAACAGCAAAAAUUUAGGGAUCUGAGUUUACUUUAUUUAUAAAAAUUUUUAAAGAAUUAAAAGAAUUAUAAAUGAUACUUGGGUAUACAGCAGUUUAUACAUAGGAGUUAAAUAUAAAAUCAAUUUAUAAUUCUGUAUGACUAGUAUGUGUACCUUGAAAAUGUUAGUAAUGAAAAAUUAUAUUAAUAUGAAUACAAC